Long non-coding RNA from Salvelinus sp. IW2-2015, 1045 nucleotides. RefSeq lists it as uncharacterized. The record is from RefSeq and is a predicted model, not a curated record. Lineage: Eukaryota; Metazoa; Chordata; Actinopteri; Salmoniformes; Salmonidae. The transcript has 3 exons.
UCCCAAGUCUUCAUUCACUAGUAAUAAGACGCACGGUGAACAGACAUCCACGGAGCGCAGCGCAACACUGACGCGCCAAGUACCAAAACAAGACAGUGGUGUUGCAUCGUCCUGCACGCACACACACACACACACACACACCGACGUAACCAUUGUGGAGUACUGUACUGUACCACUGUGGAAGCGAAGAGGAGAACAGCGCGAACAGAGGGAUCAGAUAAUGGAUAUUGAUCUUCCGUUAUUAAACCUUUACCUCUUUUGGAUAAUCUGGGAAUUCUAAAACAUAUUACUUUGGCAGGUUGGAACAUCCAACAAAGAUUCUAAUUACGGAAAAACAACGAAGUGGAACGAGAAGGAGGAUUUAUAUUUUGUUAUUUCUUUCUGCUUUUUUAUUUGUAUUUCGCCCCCCAACACUUUGGAAUAGUGGGCUUUGGAAUAUAUUGGCGGGUGACGCGACUGCCCUGGAUAAACGAGAAGGAUGGCAACUUGGUUCACUUUUACCAUCGCAUUCAGCACCACUGUACUGACACAGGUAUUUGGAUCCGGUGUUUUUGAGAUCGAUCUACAUGAAUUUAAAAACAGCAAAGGAUUGCUGGAGAAUGGCAACUCGUGCAGGCUCAACUGCAGGACUUUCUUUCGUGUUUGUCUUAAGAACUACCAGGCGGUAGUGUCGCCAGGUGACUGUAUCUUUGGAAAUGCCUUGACACCGGUGCUAGGGACCAACUCCUUUAGCGCCAUGGACGGGGGAGCUUUCAGUAGACCCAUCCGACUACCGUUCAACUUUGGAUGGCCGGGAUCGUUUUCUUUGAUAAUUGAAGCCUGGUAUUCAUCUUCAACAGAUCUACCUGUUGGUAAGUCGAUCUAUUCAACGCCACAAGAGGGCGACCUUUCUACACAUUUCACAAAUAGUCCCUCUGUAACUAAUGCACCUUUUAAGUSUCAAACUUUUAUCCCAUAAUGAGUAUCUUCUCACUAUCGUUGAUCCAUUCCCCUUAUUGUUAAUUGUUCCCUAUAUUUUUUUCAUAUUUUUACUCCUUUAUGCAGC